This 763-nucleotide ribosomal RNA is filed under the name uncultured Streptococcus sp. RNAcentral's name for it is "bacterial SSU rRNA". It matches the Rfam family "Bacterial small subunit ribosomal RNA", at positions 28 to 776 of the family's 1533-position model. The record is from RNAcentral. Lineage: Bacteria; Bacillati; Bacillota; Bacilli; Lactobacillales; Streptococcaceae.
GACGAACGCUGGCGGCGUGCCUAAUACAUGCAAGUAGAACGCUGAAGGAGGAGCUUGCUCUUCUGGAUGAGUUGCGAACGGGUGAGUAACGCGUAGGUAACCUGCCUGGUAGCGGGGGAUAACUAUUGGAAACGAUAGCUAAUACCGCAUAAGAGUAGAUGUUGCAUGACAUUUGCUUAAAAGGUGCAAUUGCAUCACUACCAGAUGGACCUGCGUUGUAUUAGCUAGUUGGUGGGGUAACGGCUCACCAAGGCAACGAUACAUAGCCGACCUGAGAGGGUGAUCGGCCACACUGGGACUGAGACACGGCCCAGACUCCUACGGGAGGCAGCAGUAGGGAAUCUUCGGCAAUGGACGGAAGUCUGACCGAGCAACGCCGCGUGAGUGAAGAAGGUUUUCGGAUCGUAAAGCUCUGUUGUAAGAGAAGAACGAGUGUGAGAGUGGAAAGUUCACACUGUGACGGUAUCUUACCAGAAAGGGACGGCUAACUACGUGCCAGCAGCCGCGGUAAUACGUAGGUCCCGAGCGUUGUCCGGAUUUAUUGGGCGUAAAGCGAGCGCAGGCGGUUAGAUAAGUCUGAAGUUAAAGGCUGUGGCUUAACCAUAGUACGCUUUGGAAACUGUUUAACUUGAGUGCAAGAGGGGAGAGUGGAAUUCCAUGUGUAGCGGUGAAAUGCGUAGAUAUAUGGAGGAACACCGGUGGCGAAAGCGGCUCUCUGGCUUGUAACUGACGCUGAGGCUCAAAAGCGUGGGGAGCAAACAGG